CUUGUUAUCCACAGAGCAUCGCAUCCUCCGUUAACCUCAUCAGUUAUAACCAGUCAUGAUCAACCUCUUUUUUCGAACCACCACGAUCAACCUCUCUUUGCGAACCAACACCUUGAAAAUCUUCAGACCACCAUGAAACCCUUACGCCAGCGAAAGCAGAAGCUAAAUUGCCUUUAAUUUAAGCCAAAUCGCACAAAUUUACCCAAAUUGUGACACAAAACGUGAACCACCAACCGCGUAACCAAUGCACCACCAUCAACGAACCUGACGUCUCCUCCAUAGCAAUCACUCUAACCACCUGUAGAGCAAAACCCCCUUCAUCUUCCUCUGUGAAAGCACGAGCUUCAUCACGCCAUGGAACCCCAAUCUACAAAUAAAAGCCAACAUCUAACACUGAUAGGUAAAACCACCGCGAGCGUCGCCAAGAAAAUCCUAAAACCUAAAUCGCACCGCCGCGAAACCUCCAUUCAAGUCCACUGUCGAACAUUAAGUAAGCGAAAACGUUUCUUUCACAACCCAAAUUUGUCAACUUUUUUACAAUGACACUUGGCGUCUCCUCAUUGGUUAGUUUGUAAUAUUUUUUUUAAAAUGUGCAUUUUGUCUUGGAGGGAAUUUUUGGAAAGGCAUUUGAGAUUCUCCUCUUUAUUUGGCAGUUUCAUUUGAAAAUUCCUGUCUCUCGACCAUUUUCAUUUCCCUUUUCUUUGUCUCUCUCCAUCGAAAGAAAUUCCCCCCUCGUUUGUCCCUGUUUUCAGGUUGGGGCAUUUCCUCGUUUGUGGAAGGUUUAGGGUUUUUGCACACAGUGUCGAGGUUGGUACCACCAUGAACUCAAUAGUUGAUGCAUUUGGUUGAAAAUGGGUUUGGGGGAAUGAGAUAUUACGUUGUUUAUACCUUGAUCAUGCAAUUUGUGAUUUUGUACCUUUAGUGAAAGUUUAUGAUAUGUAUUGAAAUGUUGAAGGCUCUUGUAACAAGAGGAUUGAGUAUUGUAUUAUGAAUAUUUUGUUUUUGGAAAUUUGAUUUUGAUUUUUUGGUUUUGCCCUUGUCGUUGUGUUAUUGUAGGUGAAUUGGUUUACUAAGUAUUUCUUCCAAUGCAAUUGAGUAUUGUAUUAUGAAUAUUAUGAACAUUUGUAUUCAUCCAAUGUAAUAGUCUUGUAUUUGUGUACAAGAACAUGUGAAGGAAUGAAAUGAUCACAAAACCAAACCAAAAAUACAAGAAAAACAUCAUAAUUAGUCAUUUCAAUCCAAU
RNAcentral lists this long non-coding RNA (1243 nucleotides) under Vigna radiata. RNAcentral describes it as "long non-coding RNA (VRAD_LNC012252)". Lineage: Eukaryota; Viridiplantae; Streptophyta; Magnoliopsida; Fabales; Fabaceae. The record is from RNAcentral.